AUUGAACGCUGGCGGCAGGCCUAACACAUGCAAGUCGAACGGUAGCAGGAAGAAGCUUGCUUCUUUGCUGACGAGGGGCGGACGGGUGAGUAAUGUCUGGGAAACUGCCUGAUGGAGGGGGAUAACUACUGGAAACGGUAGCUAAUACCGCAUAACGUCGCAAGACCAAAGAGGGGGACAUUCGGGCCUCUUGCCAUCGGAUGUGCCCAGAUGGGAUUAGCUAGUAGGUGGGGUAACGGCUCACCUAGGCGACGAGCCCUAGCUGGUCUGAGAGGAUGACCAGCCACACUGGAACUGAGACACGGUCCAGACUCCUACGGGAGGCAGCAGUGUGGAAUAUUGCACAAAGGGCGCAAGCCUGAUGCAGCCAUGCCGCGUGUAUGAAGAAGGCCUUCGGUUUGUAAAGUACUUUCAGCGGGGAGGAAGGGAGUAAAGUUAAUACCUUUGCUCAUUGACGUUACCCGCAGAAGAAGCACCGGCUAACUCCGUG
This 490-nucleotide ribosomal RNA is filed under the name uncultured bacterium. RNAcentral's name for it is "partial 16S ribosomal RNA". It matches the Rfam family "Bacterial small subunit ribosomal RNA", at positions 30 to 507 of the family's 1533-position model. The record is from RNAcentral.